GGAGGCAGGCAAGAAGUGAAAUCAGAAGACGGGAAGUGGCUGAGGGGAACGUCUUUUCUCUCUCCUGCUCAGCCCGAAGUGAACAGGUAGCAUCAGGUGUGCCAUUUCAGUGACUGGGCACAGCCCAGGCACCCACAUCUCUCUGCAGCGCCUAUUCUUGGAACACCAGAGACCUCUACACUAUUUUCUGUUGCUUUUUUCCUUCAUUUUCAGAGAUGAGAUCCUGGAUUGAAUGACUACUAUGGAAAGUGAUUGACCAAGGUAAGUCACAACUAUCUUGUUCUUUAAUUUUGGUGUUGUUUGUUAUGACUUGUUAGCCGUCUAGCACUCAUAGCUUUGCAUUUCCACUCUGCAUUACUUGUAUUUUUAUUAUUUUGUGAUAUUCGUAAUAAUUUAUUAUAAAACUGUGUUAUUUUUGGAUAUUUUUAAGUUAAAAUGCGAUUUUUUAACUAAGUGGCAGUAUGCAAAGCAAGUGGUUCAGAACUCUCCCCCAUUAAUAAGUCUUCUCUCCUGAAAGAAACAAUUUUGAGACUUCCUGUUCUUAAUUCUGUUUAACAGCAUACUUCUAAAAGAAAAAGUGUAUACUGUUAUUAUUUAUUGUGUUACAAAAAUAUACACGCACCUUUCAUGCACGUCCGUGUGAAGAGACCACCAAACAGGCUUUGUGUGAGCAAUAAAGCUUUUAAUCACCUGGGUGCAGGUGGGCUGAGUCUGACAAGAGAGUCAGCGAAGGGGGAUAGGGGUGGGGCCGUUUUAUAGGAUGUGGGUAGGUAAAGGAAAAUUACAGUCAAAGGGGGGUUGUUCUCUGGCGGGCAGAGUCGGGGUCAUAAGGUGCUCAGUAGGGGAGCUUUUGAGCCAGGAUGAGCCAGGAGAAGGAAUUUCACAAGACAAUGUCAUCAGUUAAGGCAGGAACAGGCCAUUUUCGCUUCUUUUGUGGUGGAAUGUCAUCAGUUAAGGCACGAACCGGCCAUCUGGAUGUGUACGUGCAGGUCACAGGGGAUAUGAUGGCUUAGCUUGGGCUCAGAGGCCUGACAUUCCUGUCUUCUUAUAUUAAUAAGAAAAAUAAAAUGAAAUAGGGGUAAAGUGUUGGGACAGCAAAAAUUUUUGGGGGUGGUAUGGAGAGAUAAUGGGUGAUGUUUCUCAAGGCUGCUUUGAGCAGGAUUAGGGGCGGCGUGGGAACCUAAAGUGGGAGCGAUUAAGCUGAAGGAAGAUUUUGUGGUAAGGGGUGACAUUGUGGGAUUGUUAAAAGAAACAUUUGUCAUUUAGAAUUAUUGGUGAUGGCCUGGAUACAGUUUUGUAUGAAUUGAAAAACUAAAGGGAAUAA
Molecule: long non-coding RNA, 1324 nt
Filed under: Homo sapiens (human)
Lineage: Eukaryota; Metazoa; Chordata; Mammalia; Primates; Hominidae
Description: GP6 antisense RNA 1 (GP6-AS1)
Source: RNAcentral